GACGAACGCUGGCGGCGUGCCUAAUACAUGCAAGUCGAACGAACUCUGGUAUUGAUUGGUGCUUGCAUCAUGAUUUACAUUUGAGUGAGUGGCGAACUGGUGAGUAACACGUGGGAAACCUGCCCAGAAGCGGGGGAUAACACCUGGAAACAGAUGCUAAUACCGCAUAACAACUUGGACCGCAUGGUCCGAGUUUGAAAGAUGGCUUCGGCUAUCACUUUUGGAUGGUCCCGCGGCGUAUUAGCUAGAUGGUGGGGUAACGGCUCACCAUGGCAAUGAUACGUAGCCGACCUGAGAGGGUAAUCGGCCACAUUGGGACUGAGACACGGCCCAAACUCCUACGGGAGGCAGCAGUAGGGAAUCUUCCACAAUGGACGAAAGUCUGAUGGAGCAACGCCGCGUGAGUGAAGAAGGGUUUCGGCUCGUAAAACUCUGUUGUUAAAGAAGAACAUAUCUGAGAGUAACUGUUCAGGUAUUGACGGUAUUUAACCAGAAAGCCACGGCUAACUACGUGCCAGCAGCCGCGGUAAUACGUAGGUGGCAAGCGUUGUCCGGAUUUAUUGGGCGUAAAGCGAGCGCAGGCGGUUUUUUAAGUCUGAUGUGAAAGCCUUCGGCUCAACCGAAGAAGUGCAUCGGAAACUGGGAAACUUGAGUGCAGAAGAGGACAGUGGAACUCCAUGUGUAGCGGUGAAAUGCGUAGAUAUAUGGAAGAACACCAGUGGCGAAGGCGGCUGUCUGGUCUGUAACUGACGCUGAGGCUCGAAAGUAUGGGUAGCAAACAGGAUUAGAUACCCUGGUAGUCCAUACCGUAAACGAUGAAUGCUAAGUGUUGGAGGGUUUCCGCCCUUCAGUGCUGCAGCUAACGCAUUAAGCAUUCCGCCUGGGGAGUACGGCCGCAAGGCUGAAACUCAAAGGAAUUGACCGGGGCCCGCACAAGCGGUGGAGCAUGUGGUUUAAUUCGAAGCUACGCGAAGAACCUUACCAGGUCUUGACAUACUAUGCAAAUCUAAGAGAUUAGACGUUCCCUUCGGGGACAUGGAUACAGGUGGUGCAUGGUUGUCGUCAGCUCGUGUCGUGAGAUGUUGGGUUAAGUCCCGCAACGAGCGCAACCCUUAUUAUCAGUUGCCAGCAUUAAGUUGGGCACUCUGGUGAGACUGCCGGUGACAAACCGGAGGAAGGUGGGGAUGACGUCAAAUCAUCAUGCCCCUUAUGACCUGGGCUACACACGUGCUACAAUGGAUGGUACAACGAGUUGCGAACUCGCGAGAGUAAGCUAAUCUCUUAAAGCCAUUCUCAGUUCGGAUUGUAGGCUGCAACUCGCCUACAUGAAGUCGGAAUCGCUAGUAAUCGCGGAUCAGCAUGCCGCGGUGAAUACGUUCCCGGGCCUUGUACACACCGCCCGUCACACCAUGAGAGUUUGUAACACCCAAAGUCGGUGGGGUAACCUUUUAGGAACCAGCCGCCUAAGGUGGGACAGAUGAUUAGGGUGAAG
This 1492-nucleotide ribosomal RNA is filed under the name Lactiplantibacillus plantarum. RNAcentral describes it as "bacterial SSU rRNA". It matches the Rfam family "Bacterial small subunit ribosomal RNA". Lineage: Bacteria; Bacillati; Bacillota; Bacilli; Lactobacillales; Lactobacillaceae. The record is from RNAcentral.